CUGUCUCGCUGCCGCGAUAGGUAGCUGUCAGUUUGCGGUCAUUGCUGGAAAGAAACCAACCCAAUAGUGUUUCUCCUGUUGUCUCCAUUUAGUAUUUUGUGAAAAAGUUAGUGUGAUAUAACGCAAUUGGUGGCACAGGAACAGAGGUGGUGCUGAGGUUACUAUCCCAAAACUGUAUGUGGAUUAAACACUAUUGGAUUUAGAGAGUUGACAACUGAGAAUUUUAUUUGAAUGUUAUAGGCCCGGAUGUUGGAGAGGAAUUGAGGAGAGAAAAGUGGAAGUAAAAAUUUAAUACAUUUUAAUUAAAUCGGCGAUGACAAGAAAUAUACUACAGUGGGACAACGUUAUAUGUGGAUGUUGAGUACCAGUGUGUUAAUCACAAGACAUGUAUAGAUUAGAGGAACACUGAAGAUACCAAGAAGAGUAUUAAUGAAGAUACCAAGAAAAAACAAGGAGGAUCGUUAAGACUUAAACCAGAACUACGAGUGACAAGAGGUUCACUGAGGAGGCCAAGAAAGAGGAGAGAAGACCAAGAAAGAAGAAACUUUCGCCGAAAAUUAAAUAUCAGUUUUUAGGGAAUCUCCCCAGAUACGAAAUAAAAAAAAUUACUGAAGGUCUGUGAACCAGGAUGCACAGCUCGUUUCUUCUACCUCCAACAGUCUUGGUCGGGCAUGCCACAGGGGUUAGAGAUUUAUUUCUGAUGAUAGAAGUUCUCUCGACGUGGUUCGGAAGUCGCAUAAAGCCGUUGGUCCCGUUGAUGAAUAACCACUGGUUCGGGUUCCAUGUACCGUAAAAACACUAUACAAACAAAACGGUUUCCCAUUUUCUGUUUUUCUUCUACCUCCAACUACCUCUAACUGUCUUAGUUAAGUCUCCCAUUUUCUGUAUCUGGUUUCUCGACCAUUUACACAACAGGAUGAUAACCGCUACCAGCCACAGUUUCUGAAAAUAGUAAAAUUGUUACCAACUUGUCAA
Molecule: long non-coding RNA, 975 nt
Organism: Macrobrachium nipponense
Lineage: Eukaryota; Metazoa; Arthropoda; Malacostraca; Decapoda; Palaemonidae
Exons: 5
Source: RefSeq, a predicted model, not a curated record